CUUUCGCAUCUUUCAAUUCUAUUGAAAGUUCUGUGAAAAUUACAUUGAUAAAUAGCUACUACAUAGCCACAUUUAGGUGUGAUUAUAUAAGGUGUGAUGCCUAGUUCUGCUACCACUGAAAUCAAUUUGGAUUCCGAACUGGCUCUUCACGCUACCCGGUCUAGAACAAUAUGAUGUACGUAAAUGCAUGCGCAACACCUACACGAGCAAGUCCUCGCGCUUUACGUCUACAUUUACACGUUUUUGAUUUCUGCCCGAAUCAUCGCAAUUACUAAAAGUGGAUUAUAUUAUCAAUAUAGAAAUUUUUCGAUGUAUUAGUUUUAGACUAUAUGAAUAUAUUUUCCUAACUAUACUAAUAUUAGGGACGCCAAGUAUAUUAAGGUAGACAAAUUUUAAACAAUA
Anastrepha ludens (Mexican fruit fly) is the source of this 402-nucleotide long non-coding RNA. RefSeq lists it as uncharacterized. The record is from RefSeq and is a predicted model, not a curated record. NCBI's taxonomy places the organism in Eukaryota, Metazoa, Arthropoda, Insecta, Diptera, Tephritidae. The transcript has 3 exons.